Molecule: long non-coding RNA, 220 nt
Filed under: Capsicum annuum
Lineage: Eukaryota; Viridiplantae; Streptophyta; Magnoliopsida; Solanales; Solanaceae
Description: long non-coding RNA (CANN_LNC002006)
Source: RNAcentral
CCCUUGAAUUGCUAUCCUAGUUACAAGUUUCGGUUUGCCUCAAGUAGAGAGAGGACUUUGGUAUUUCAAAUGUCAAGACUUACAACAACAAUCAACUAAGUUAUGAAAAUCCCUAAUACUAAACUAUAUAUAGUCUCCUUAUUACAUAAAAGAUGAAAUGACCAAAAGACCCUUAAUGAAAAGGGGGCGCCCCUCUAGUGUAAUAAAUGAGCAAAUAGGG